This 423-nucleotide ribosomal RNA is filed under the name uncultured bacterium. RNAcentral describes it as "bacterial SSU rRNA". It matches the Rfam family "Bacterial small subunit ribosomal RNA", at positions 207 to 622 of the family's 1533-position model. The record is from RNAcentral.
AAGACCUUGCGCUUUUGGAGCGGCCGAUGCCUGAUUAGCUUGUUGGUAAGGUAAAAGCUUACCAAGUCUUCGAUCAGUAGCUGGUCUGAGAGGACGGCCAGCCACACUGGGACUGAGACACGGCCCAGACUCCUACGGGAGGCAGCAGUGGGGAAUUUUGGACAAUGGGCGCAAGCCUGAUCCAGCCAUGCCGCGUGAGUGAAGAAGGCCUUCGGGUUGUAAAGCUCUUUCAGCCGGGAAGAAAAGGUUGCGAUUAAUAAUCGCAAUUUAUGACGGUACCGGAAGAAGAAGCACCGGCUAACUACGUGCCAGCAGCCGCGGUAAUACGUAGGGUGCGAGCGUUAAUCGGAAUUACUGGGCGUAAAGGGUGCGCAGGCGGUUUUGUAAGUCAGAUGUGAAMUCCCCGGGCUUAACCUGGGAACU